CCCGGGUCCGGGUGAGGCCACGCGCCCCUGGGUCUGGGAGAGGCCACGCGCCCCUGGGUCCGGGUGAGGCCAUGUGUCCCUGGAUCCGGGUGAGGCCUUGCGCACCUAGGUCCGGGUGAGGCCACGCGCCCCUGGGUCU
Eptesicus fuscus (big brown bat) is the source of this 139-nucleotide non-coding RNA. The record is from RefSeq and is marked provisional. Lineage: Eukaryota; Metazoa; Chordata; Mammalia; Chiroptera; Vespertilionidae.